Molecule: ribosomal RNA, 439 nt
Filed under: uncultured bacterium
Lineage: Bacteria
Description: bacterial SSU rRNA
Rfam family: Bacterial small subunit ribosomal RNA
Source: RNAcentral
AUUGAACGCUGGCGGCAUGCUUUACACAUGCAAGUCGAACGGCAGCACGGGUGCUUGCACCUGGUGGCGAGUGGCGAACGGGUGAGUAAUGCAUCGGAACGUGCCCAUGAGUGGGGGAUAGCCCGGCGAAAGCCGGAUUAAUACCGCAUACGCCCUUAGGGGGAAAGCGGGGGAUCUUCGGACCUCGCGCUAUUGGAGCGGCCGAUGUCGGAUUAGCUAGUAGGUGAGGUAAAGGCUCACCUAGGCGACGAUCCGUAGCUGGUCUGAGAGGAUGAUCAGCCACACUGGGACUGAGACACGGCCCAGACUCCUACGGGAGGCAGCAGUGGGGAAUUUUGGACAAUGGGCGCAAGCCUGAUCCAGCCAUGCCGCGUGAGUGAAGAAGGCCUUCGGUUGUAAAGCGUCUUUCUAGGUGGAAAGGAAAGUAAGACGCCGUUAG